AUUGUUAGUGGCAGACGGGUGAGUAAUGCGUAGGAAUCUACCUAGUAGUACGGAAUAGCCAUUAGAAAUGGUGGGUAAUACUGUAUAAUCCCCGAGGGGGAAAGAUUUAUCGCUAUUAGAUGAGCCUACGUUAGAUUAGCUAGUUGGUGAGGUAAUGGCUUACCAAGGCUAUGAUCUAUAGCUGGUCUGAGAGGACGAUCAGCCACACUGGAACUGAGAUACGGUCCAGACUCCUACGGGAGGCAGCAGUGGGGAAUAUUGGACAAUGGGCGAAAGCCUGAUCCAGCUAUGCCGCGUGAGUGAAGAAGGCCUUCGGGUUGUAAAACUCUUUCA
Molecule: ribosomal RNA, 333 nt
Filed under: Ehrlichia canis
Lineage: Bacteria; Pseudomonadati; Pseudomonadota; Alphaproteobacteria; Rickettsiales; Anaplasmataceae
Description: bacterial SSU rRNA
Rfam family: Bacterial small subunit ribosomal RNA
Source: RNAcentral